GGAUGAGUUGCGAACGGGUGAGUAACGCGUAGGUAACCUGCCUUGUAGCGGGGGAUAACUAUUGGAAACGAUAGCUAAUACCGCAUAACAAUGGAUGACACAUGUCAUUUAUUUGAAAGGGGCAAUUGCUCCACUACAAGAUGGACCUGCGUUGUAUUAGCUAGUAGGUGAGGUAAUGGCUCACCUAGGCGACGAUACAUAGCCGACCUGAGAGGGUGAUCGGCCACACUGGGACUGAGACACGGCCCAGACUCCUACGGGAGGCAGCAGUAGGGAAUCUUCGGCAAUGGGGGCAACCCUGACCGAGCAACGCCGCGUGAGUGAAGAAGGUUUUCGGAUCGUAAAGCUCUGUUGUAAGUCAAGAACGGGUGUGAGAGUGGAAAGUUCACACUGUGACGGUAGCUUACCAGAAAGGGACGGCUAACUACGUGCCAGCAGCCGCGGUAAUACGUAGGUCCCGAGCGUUGUCCGGAUUUAUUGGGCGUAAAGCGAGCGCAGGCGGUUUGAUAAGUCUGAAGUUAAAGGCUGUGGCUCAACCAUAGUUCGCUUUGGAAACUGUCAAACUUGAGUGCAGAAGGGGAGAGUGGAAUUCCAUGUGUAGCGGUGAAAUGCGUAGAUAUAUGGAGGAACACCGGUGGCGAAAGCGGCUCUCUGGUCUGUAACUGACGCUGAGGCUCGAAAGCGUGGGGAGCGAACAGGAUUAGAUACCCUGGUAGUCCACGCCGUAAACGAUGAGUGCUAGGUGUUGGAUCCUUUCCGGGAUUCAGUGCCGCAGCUAACGCAUUAAGCACUCCGCCUGGGGAGUACGACCGCAAGGUUGAAACUCAAAGGAAUUGACGGGGGCCCGCACAAGCGGUGGAGCAUGUGGUUUAAUUCGAAGCAACGCGAAGAACCUUACCAGGUCUUGACAUCCCGAUGCUAUUUCUAGAGAUAGAAAGUUACUUCGGUACAUCGGUGACAGGUGGUGCAUGGUUGUCGUCAGCUCGUGUCGUGAGAUGUUGGGUUAAGUCCCGCAACGAGCGCAACCCCUAUUGUUAGUUGCCAUCAUUCAGUUGGGCACUCUAGCGAGACUGCCGGUAAUAAACCGGAGGAAGGUGGGGAUGACGUCAAAUCAUCAUGCCCCUUAUGACCUGGGCUACACACGUGCUACAAUGGUUGGUACAACGAGUUGCGAGUCGGUGACGGCGAGCUAAUCUCUUAAAGCCAAUCUCAGUUCGGAUUGUAGGCUGCAACUCGCCUACAUGAAGUCGGAAUCGCUAGUAAUCGCGGAUCAGCACGCCGCGGUGAAUACGUUCCCGGGCCUUGUACACACCGCCCGUCACACCACGAGAGUUUGUAACACCCGAAGUCGGUGAGGUAACCUUUGGAGCCAGCCGCCUAAGGUGGACAGAUGAUUGGGGAAGUC
This 1405-nucleotide ribosomal RNA is filed under the name Streptococcus thermophilus. RNAcentral's name for it is "bacterial SSU rRNA". It matches the Rfam family "Bacterial small subunit ribosomal RNA". The record is from RNAcentral. Lineage: Bacteria; Bacillati; Bacillota; Bacilli; Lactobacillales; Streptococcaceae.